This 485-nucleotide ribosomal RNA is filed under the name uncultured organism. RNAcentral describes it as "bacterial SSU rRNA". It matches the Rfam family "Bacterial small subunit ribosomal RNA", at positions 28 to 507 of the family's 1533-position model. The record is from RNAcentral.
GAUGAACGCUAGCGGCAGGCCUAACACAUGCAAGUCGAGGGGCAGCGCGAUGUAGCAAUACAUUGGCGGCGACCGGCGCACGGGUGCGUAACACGUAUGGAACCUGCCCUAUACUGGGAGAUAACCCGGAGAAAUUCGGACUAAUAUCCCAUAACAAACGAGGUGGCAUCACCUUGUUUUGAAAGCUCCGGCGGUAUAGGAUGGCCAUGCGUCCCAUUAGCUAGUUGGUAAGGUAAUGGCUUACCAAGGCUACGAUGGGUAGGGGGCCUGAGAGGGUUAUCCCCCACACUGGUACUGAGACACGGACCAGACUCCUACGGGAGGCAGCAGUGAGGAAUAUUGCGCAAUGGAGGCAACUCUGACGCAGCCAUGCCGCGUGCAGGAAGAAGGCCCUACGGGUUGUAAACUGCUUUUAACCGGGAAGAAACCCCUUUACGUGUAGAGGGUUGACGGUACCGGAGGAAUAAGCACCGGCUAACUUCGUG